UUGGACGCCUCUGCUAAAGAGGAGGAAGGGAAUGGGCAACGGUAGGUCAGCAUGCCCCGAAUUAUCUGGGCUACACGCGGGCUACAAUGGGUGGGACAAUGGGUAUCGACACCGAAAGGUGAAGGCAAUCUCCUAAACCCAUCCGUAGUUCGGAUUGUGGGCUGCAACUCGCCCACAUGAAGCCGGAAUCUGUAGUAAUCGUGUCUCAAAAUGGCACGGUGAAUAUGUCCCUGCUCCUU
This 239-nucleotide ribosomal RNA is filed under the name uncultured Methanomicrobiales archaeon. Its description in RNAcentral is "partial 16S ribosomal RNA". It matches the Rfam family "Archaeal small subunit ribosomal RNA", at positions 1100 to 1338 of the family's 1478-position model. The record is from RNAcentral. Lineage: Archaea; Methanobacteriati; Methanobacteriota; Methanomicrobia; Methanomicrobiales.